RNAcentral lists this ribosomal RNA (226 nucleotides) under uncultured bacterium. RNAcentral describes it as "partial 16S ribosomal RNA". It matches the Rfam family "Bacterial small subunit ribosomal RNA", at positions 538 to 763 of the family's 1533-position model. The record is from RNAcentral.
GCGUUUUUCGGAUUCAUUGGGCGUAAAGGGGGCGUAGGUGGCGUGGUCAGUCGGGUGUGAAAUUUCGGAGCUUAACUCCGAAACUGCAUUCGAUACUGCCGUGCUUGAGGACUGGAGAGGAGACUGGAAUUUACGGUGUAGCAGUGAAAUGCGUAGAGAUCGUAAGGAAGACCAGUGGCGAAGGCGGGUCUCUGGACAGUUCCUGACACUGAGGCACGAAGGCCAG